UAUAAAGCAGAGAAGAGGAAAGUAACUUUAAAAAUACUUUUACAGAGAGUUUCUAAUGGUGAGAGGAAGCAAAGGAUAUUAAAGUGAAAAUGGCCUUGGAGCGGUGCACCGAGAUUUUUUAAAUUAAGGCUGCAACGGGUUCAUCCGUUAUAGUGAUAGAGUAUAAUCAUAUAGAUUUAUAUAUGACGUACUUGAAGAGGUAUAUAUUGCGAAGUAUAUAUAAAUUAGGAUGGUAACACGAAGUUUAGCUCUCGUUCCUAGG
Molecule: non-coding RNA, 262 nt
Filed under: Clostridium sp.
Lineage: Bacteria; Bacillati; Bacillota; Clostridia; Eubacteriales; Clostridiaceae
Description: T-box sequence
Rfam family: T-box leader
About the family: Uncharged tRNA acts as the effector for transcription antitermination of genes in the T-box leader family. T-boxes are found upstream of many aminoacyl-tRNA synthetase genes and some amino acid biosynthetic genes usually in Gram-positive bacteria.
Source: RNAcentral